Molecule: long non-coding RNA, 370 nt
Filed under: Rattus norvegicus (Norway rat)
Lineage: Eukaryota; Metazoa; Chordata; Mammalia; Rodentia; Muridae
Description: long non-coding RNA NONRATT031367
Source: RNAcentral
UCUUGCCAUGCUUGUCAUCCAAAAGUCGUUUCUGUCGCAGGUGCAAGUGUCUGUAAACUAACCAUCUAAACUUAAGGAAUGGCUGCUGCUGACUCAGUGGGAAGCCCAAGAGAGCAGUGACUCAGUUUUAAAAGUUUUCAGGGCUUUUGAUGGCAGACAAAUGCUCUUCAGAAACACAGGAUGCACACAACUGGAGUGAGAAGAACACAGGAGAAGGACUCUGUUUGGUUUGCAAAGUCACAGAAAUCGGAGAUCUUUGGAUACGACUGAUCAUUUCUGCAGGUGUGUGUGUGUGUGUGUGUAUGUGGGUGUGUAGGUGUGUGUGUAUGUGUGUGUGCAUGUGUGUGUGUGUGUGUUUGUUGUGUGUGUA